Molecule: ribosomal RNA, 206 nt
Filed under: uncultured bacterium
Lineage: Bacteria
Description: partial 16S ribosomal RNA
Rfam family: Bacterial small subunit ribosomal RNA
Source: RNAcentral
CGCGUAGGCGGCUAUGAAAGUCUGGUGUGAAAGGCCACAGCUUAACUGUGGGAGUGCACUGGAAACUACAUGGCUAGAGUUCAAGAGGGGAAGUUGAAUUCCUGGUGUAGGGGUGAAAUCUGUAGAUAUCAGGAAGAACACCUGUGGCGAAGGCGAACUUCUGGCUAUGAACUGACGCUGAGGCGCGAAAGCGUGGGGAGCGAACA